Zingiber officinale is the source of this 166-nucleotide long non-coding RNA. RefSeq lists it as uncharacterized. NCBI's taxonomy places the organism in Eukaryota, Viridiplantae, Streptophyta, Magnoliopsida, Zingiberales, Zingiberaceae. The transcript has 3 exons. The record is from RefSeq and is a predicted model, not a curated record.
CCCAUAUCCAACUCGAGGAAGUGACUUAUUGACAUGGGAGAGAACUUAUUGGUAACCAAGGACUUUGUGAAGAUAGCAAAUUUUGGCCUUGCUCGUGAAGUUCAUUCGAAGCCACCAUUCAUAGAAUAGGUUUCAACACGCUGUUUACAAAUCUCAAGUACUCCAG